Molecule: ribosomal RNA, 160 nt
Filed under: Crotalaria pulchra
Lineage: Eukaryota; Viridiplantae; Streptophyta; Magnoliopsida; Fabales; Fabaceae
Also listed under: 2 other names
Description: 5.8S ribosomal RNA
Rfam family: 5.8S ribosomal RNA
About the family: 5.8S ribosomal RNA (5.8S rRNA) is a component of the large subunit of the eukaryotic ribosome. It is transcribed by RNA polymerase I as part of the 45S precursor that also contains 18S and 28S rRNA. Functionally, it is thought that 5.8S rRNA may be involved in ribosome translocation.
Source: RNAcentral
GGACUCUCGGCAACGGAUAUCUCGGCUCUUGCAUCGAUGAAGAACGUAGCGAAAUGCGAUACUUGGUGUGAAUUGCAGAAUCCCGUGAACCAUCGAGUCUUUGAACGCAAGUUGCGCCCGAAGCCAUUAGGCUGAGGGCACGCCUGCCUGGGUGUCGCCC